This 200-nucleotide unclassified non-coding RNA is filed under the name soil metagenome. Its description in RNAcentral is "partial internal transcribed spacer 2". The record is from RNAcentral.
UUAAGUUCAACAAAUAAUCUCACCCGAUUUGAGAUCAAGGUUUCAUAAAUCGAAAAACUUCCCACCCCGUGAAGGGCGAUCGGCUCGAACGAUGUCCCUGAUGGGACGGUUAGAAGCAGGUCCUUCCCGAGCAAAACCCAAGACGUAGAAACAUCUUAUCAACGUCGAGGAUCUAGCAAAGCGGAUCCCACUGAUACAUU